RNAcentral lists this ribosomal RNA (505 nucleotides) under Muscinupta laevis. RNAcentral describes it as "SSU rRNA". It matches the Rfam family "Bacterial small subunit ribosomal RNA", at positions 400 to 965 of the family's 1533-position model. Lineage: Eukaryota; Fungi; Basidiomycota; Agaricomycetes; Hymenochaetales. The record is from RNAcentral.
CGAGCUAACUGAAAGAAUACAUAAUCUAAAGUUAGGAAUCUUAUAAUUUUUAUUAUAAGUUUAAAGACGAAUCUAACUAACAGUGUCGUCCAAAUUCUGGUGCCAGAAGACUCGGUAAUACCAGAGACGCGAACGUUAAUCAUCUUGAAUGGGCAUAAAGGGUUUGUAGGCGGCUUAUUUAUUAAUAGGCUAGAAUCUUAGAGAGGUUAAUAAAAUACUUAGAGGAGGGCUGAUAUCCUUAGAUCCUAAGUGGAAUCCUAAUUGCGAAGGCCAUUUUCCACUACAGAUUGACGCUGAGACACGAAGGUUAGGAUAGGAACUAGGAUUAGAGACCCUAUUACCCCUAACUGUAAACGAUGAAUGGCAGAUAUUUACAACUGUAAGUGUCGAAGUGAAUACGAUAACCAUUCCGCCUUGCCAGUAUACUUGCAAAAGUGAAAACAAAAAAAUUAGUCGGUCCUAAAGCAAACGAAGUGAAGCAUGUUAUUUAAUUCGGUAAUCCGCA